This is a non-coding RNA of Taeniopygia guttata (zebra finch), 908 nucleotides long. The record is from RefSeq and is a predicted model, not a curated record. NCBI's taxonomy places the organism in Eukaryota, Metazoa, Chordata, Aves, Passeriformes, Estrildidae.
GAACCUGUUGCAUUGUAGGAGCACUGGCAUGAAGAAAGAGUAACAAAACCUCUGGCAAGAGCGUUAAUAAUGGUAGACUCCAAAUGCAAAAAUAGGGCAGAAUCUGGUUUUAUAAACAAGGUUUUAAAGUUAUUCUUCUGUAUAUGGGUCUCUGUUGCAGGUCUGCCAUUGAUUUUGCUAGGACUAACCUCUGGUAAAGGACAGGUUUAACUGGCCUAGACUUUGAAAAUUCACCUUCCCAGGACACCACAGGAACUGCUUGUUCCAAGGGAGGUGUCUCCUUCACUUUAACUUGCAUCUCAAGUACCACAGUGACACCUGGAAGCAUAGGUGCACUUCCCUGAGUAGCUAAGCCAUUAACAGCAUCCUCUGGAGCCCUUAUGGAUACAUCUGCACUAAUGAUGGCCCAUGGACUAGUGUCUUCUCCAGAACUGAGAACAGCCAACGUGGCACAUCAGGCCUUAACAGAGCUGCACUUCUCCUUUGUCUCUCCUUUAACCAGCACCACAACACCCCUCAGUGCCCAGAGGGGCCUUGUGAUGCCUCCACUGUGCAUUGCCUGGGAAAUUCCCUGCUCCUGCAGGGUGAGCCAUCCUGGGCAUUCAGGCCAUGGCCACUUCACUUACAAGGUGGUGUGCAAAUGUGUGUUGUACAUAGCAAAAAGUUGUAACUUUUCUGUAAAAGUGAGCAGAAAAUAAUAUUUGCAGUAUUAUGUUACUGUACGUAUAUUCCAAGGAGACAUGUUUCAUUUAUUUUUAAAAUUUUAAAUAUUUUAAGAAUUGCAAUUGAUGAUAUGAAAUCAGACAUAUCAGAUCCUCUAUGACCUAGAUAUUUUUCUAUUUCUUCCCUUGUAGUUGAAAUAAAUACUUCAUUUAUUGCCUUCAAAUUAAACUGCUGUCAAGAUACCA